UACGGAGGGGGCUAGCGUUAUUCGGAAUUACUGGGCGUAAAGCGUUCGUAGGCGGCUUUGUAAGUCAGAGGUGGAAGCCCACGACUCAAUCGUGGAACUGCCUUUGAGACUGCUUCGCUUGAAGAUGGGAGAGGUUAGUGGAAUUCCGAGUGUUGAGGUGAAAUUCGUAGAUAUUCGGAAGAACACCAGUGGCGAAGGCGGCUAACUUGACCAUCCUUGACGCUGAGGAACGAAAGCGUUGGGAGCAAACAGG
This 253-nucleotide ribosomal RNA is filed under the name uncultured bacterium. RNAcentral's name for it is "partial 16S ribosomal RNA". It matches the Rfam family "Bacterial small subunit ribosomal RNA", at positions 524 to 776 of the family's 1533-position model. The record is from RNAcentral.